This 501-nucleotide ribosomal RNA is filed under the name Vibrio parahaemolyticus. RNAcentral describes it as "bacterial SSU rRNA". It matches the Rfam family "Bacterial small subunit ribosomal RNA", at positions 1042 to 1533 of the family's 1533-position model. The record is from RNAcentral. Lineage: Bacteria; Pseudomonadati; Pseudomonadota; Gammaproteobacteria; Vibrionales; Vibrionaceae.
UGCAUGGCUGUCGUCAGCUCGUGUUGUGAAAUGUUGGGUUAAGUCCCGCAACGAGCGCAACCCUUAUCCUUGUUUGCCAGCGAGUAAUGUCGGGAACUCCAGGGAGACUGCCGGUGAUAAACCGGAGGAAGGUGGGGACGACGUCAAGUCAUCAUGGCCCUUACGAGUAGGGCUACACACGUGCUACAAUGGCGCAUACAGAGGGCAGCCAACUUGCGAAAGUGAGCGAAUCCCAAAAAGUGCGUCGUAGUCCGGAUUGGAGUCUGCAACUCGACUCCAUGAAGUCGGAAUCGCUAGUAAUCGUGGAUCAGAAUGCCACGGUGAAUACGUUCCCGGGCCUUGUACACACCGCCCGUCACACCAUGGGAGUGGGCUGCAAAAGAAGUAGGUAGUUUAACCUUCGGGGGGACGCUUACCACUUUGUGGUUCAUGACUGGGGUGAAGUCGUAACAAGGUAGCGCUAGGGGAACCUGGCGCUGGAUCACCUCCUUAAACGAUGAU